CGGGACGGGUGAGUAAUGUCUGGGAAACUGCCUGAUGGAGGGGGGUAACUACUGGAAACGGUAGCUAAUACCGCAUAACGUCGCAAGACCAAAGAGGGGACCUCGGGCCUCUUGCCAUCGGAUGUGCCCAGAUGGGAUUAGCUAGUAGGUGGGGUAACGGCUCACCUAGGCGACGAUCCCUAGCUGGUCUGAGAGGAUGACCAGCCACACUGGAACUGAGACACGGUCCAG
This 231-nucleotide ribosomal RNA is filed under the name uncultured bacterium. RNAcentral describes it as "partial 16S ribosomal RNA". It matches the Rfam family "Bacterial small subunit ribosomal RNA", at positions 100 to 334 of the family's 1533-position model. The record is from RNAcentral.